Molecule: ribosomal RNA, 460 nt
Filed under: uncultured bacterium
Lineage: Bacteria
Description: partial 16S ribosomal RNA
Rfam family: Bacterial small subunit ribosomal RNA
Source: RNAcentral
CCUACGGGAGGCAGCAGUGAGGAAUAUUGGUCAAUGGGCUUACGCCUGAACCAGCCAAGUCGCGUGAGGGAAGACUGCCCUAUGGGUUGUAAACCUCUUUUGUCAGGGAGCAACGCCGGCUACGUGUAGCCGGACUGAGAGUACCUGAAGAAAAAGCAUCGGCUAACUCCGUGCCAGCAGCCGCGGUAAUACGGAGGAUGCGAGCGUUAUCCGGAUUUAUUGGGUUUAAAGGGUGCGUAGGCGGAAUGCCAAGUCAGCGGUAAAAUCGCGGGGCUCAACCUCGCUCCGCCGUUGAAACUGGCGUUCUUGAGUGAGCGAGAAGUAGGCGGAAUGCGUGGUGUAGCGGUGAAAUGCAUAGAUAUCACGCAGAACUCCGAUUGCGAAGGCAGCAUACCGGCGCUCAACUGACGCUGAGGCACGAAAGCGUGGGGAUCGAACAGGAUUAGAUACCCGGGUAGUC